RNAcentral lists this ribosomal RNA (429 nucleotides) under Chloroflexota bacterium. RNAcentral's name for it is "Chloroflexi bacterium partial 16S ribosomal RNA". It matches the Rfam family "Bacterial small subunit ribosomal RNA", at positions 355 to 776 of the family's 1533-position model. The record is from RNAcentral. Lineage: Bacteria; Bacillati; Chloroflexota.
UGGGGAAUAUUGCACAAUGGGCGCAAGCCUGAUGCAGCCAUGCCGCGUGUGUGAAGAAGGCCUUCGGGUUGUAAAGCACUUUCAGCGGGGAGGAAGGCGGUGAGGUUAAUAACCUCAUCGAUUGACGUUACCCGCAGAAGAAGCACCGGCUAACUCCGUGCCAGCAGCCGCGGUAAUACGGAGGGUGCAAGCGUUAAUCGGAAUUACUGGGCGUAAAGCGCACGCAGGCGGUCUGUCAAGUCGGAUGUGAAAUCCCCGGGCUCAACCUGGGAACUGCAUUCGAAACUGGCAGGCUAGAGUCUUGUAGAGGGGGGUAGAAUUCCAGGUGUAGCGGUGAAAUGCGUAGAGAUCUGGAGGAAUACCGGUGGCGAAGGCGGCCCCCUGGACAAAGACUGACGCUCAGGUGCGAAAGGGGGGGGAGCAAACAGG